UAGAUAGCUAUUAUCAGUGUUCUCACUUUACAGAUGAGGGUGGAACCGCCCGCCAAGAGGUUAAAACCUGGCAGAAGGUCACCUAGUAAGGGACUAAACCACAUUUCAAAGCCCUGCGGUGCCAUUCAGACGAACAGGAACAGGAACGCCAGCUGCCGAGCUCACAGAAGAGUAUCGAGAGAUCCCAGAAGAACGCUAGCACAGCGAAUGAGAGCAGAAGUAGGUGAGAAGGACACCUGACAAAAGACACAUGUUUUACAGUCACAUGUUUUACAGUUAAGCCUACAACAACCCAGCUAAGGACAGCUAAGCUGGAGGCACGGAAGGGAGAUGGCAGAUGCCUCCAACUUCCUAAAUCGGAAGAAAUGAGAAGAGAAACGUUCAGAAGCUAACGUUUAAGACAGGCAAGAUAAGGAGAACAGGGAAACUUCUAGUUUUAGGGGGUUUCUGGCUAAGGCUCUCCCCGCUGGUCAUGAAAUGGCCCUUGGUCCGCCCACUGGACUGGGUUACGCAGGAGACAGACUGGCUCUUUUGCCGUGUGCAGCAGCGCCACCUAGCAGAAGUGGGGUAAAAUUGCAUCAUAACCACCAGGGCCUUCAAAAGACUGAAGGACCCACCAGACCAGCAGUUGCCUAAGGCUGACAUGGCUGUGAUAAAGAGUGUCUGCCCUUGCUGUGGGAAAGAGAAGUGAAGCUGACCUUCGCAGAGGGUUCCGCCAGGGGAACUGCUCCAUCCAUCUCAUAAAGAGCCGUAAUGGAGACAGACUGGCAGACGACGGCAGAUGAGGGUACAGUCUCAUCUCAGAGACGUCCCGAGGUGGGAGAAAGCCUAGGACUUUAAAGAGGGCGGAAUUCUGGACUCGCAGUCUGUUUAAGGAGGGAAGUCACCCAGGCUUGAGUAAGGAAGGGACCUGUGUAGAUUCACAGCCCAAAUUGCGAGUGUCCACACGAGAACCCACGUCUCUCCAGAGUCACUGAGCCAGGGAAGAGCAAGGCAAGUCCUCAGCAACCAGCUCCCUGGAAACGGCCAGUUGGCCAGGCCCAGCCCUCUCCUGAGGCUGUGCACUCAGAAGACUCCUGACCAUCUCCACGUCUCUACAGGACCCCUGCCAAUCUACCUGGCCUUCUGCGUCUCAGAUUCCUUAUCUAUCACAUGGGGAUACUAACAAUGGUAAAUGCUCAGUCCAACACUGAGCUCACACUUAAUGCUCAAUAAUUAGAUAUUAAAGAUGACACUUUUAAUACUGAUGUUUUAAUAUGGUAAUAUUACUGGUGUGCUUCUCAAACUACUGUUAAUAAAUAUGGUGGCCCCA
This is a long non-coding RNA of Myodes glareolus (Bank vole), 1312 nucleotides long. RefSeq lists it as uncharacterized. The record is from RefSeq and is a predicted model, not a curated record. Lineage: Eukaryota; Metazoa; Chordata; Mammalia; Rodentia; Cricetidae.